This 530-nucleotide ribosomal RNA is filed under the name Trichoderma asperellum. RNAcentral describes it as "eukaryotic LSU rRNA". The stretch from base 143 to 296 matches the Rfam family "5.8S ribosomal RNA". The record is from RNAcentral. Lineage: Eukaryota; Fungi; Ascomycota; Sordariomycetes; Hypocreales; Hypocreaceae.
CUGUUGCCUCGGCGGGGUCACGCCCCGGGUGCGUCGCAGCCCCGGAACCAGGCGCCCGCCGGAGGAACCAACCAAACUCUUUCUGUAGUCCCCUCGCGGACGUAUUUCUUACAGCUCUGAGCAAAAAUUCAAAAUGAAUCAAAACUUUCAACAACGGAUCUCUUGGUUCUGGCAUCGAUGAAUAACGCAGCGAAAUGCGAUAAGUAAUGUGAAUUGCAGAAUUCAGUGAAUCAUCGAAUCUUUGAACGCACAUUGCGCCCGCCAGUAUUCUGGCGGGCAUGCCUGUCCGAGCGUCAUUUCAACCCUCGAACCCCUCCGGGGGAUCGGCGUUGGGGAUCGGGACCCCUCACACGGGUGCCGGCCCCGAAAUACAGUGGCGGUCUCGCCGCAGCCUCUCCUGCGCAGUAGUUUGCACAACUCGCACCGGGAGCGCGGCGCGUCCACGUCCGUAAAACACCCAACUUUCUGAAAUGUUGACCUCGGAUCAGGUAGGAAUACCCGCUGAACUUAAGCAUAUCAAUAAGCGGAGG